CUCCUCCUUCAGUGAGUUGUGCAUGUGUGAACAGGUGGACGCGCAGCACGCGAGAGGAGCGCUCGUGCUAAUGAGUGCCGAACACAGGCCCCUGGAAACCAGCUGCUCAUGUUGAUUUUA
This is a non-coding RNA of Danio rerio (zebrafish), 120 nucleotides long. Lineage: Eukaryota; Metazoa; Chordata; Actinopteri; Cypriniformes; Danionidae. The record is from Ensembl.